GAUGAACGCUAGCGGCAGGCCUAACACAUGCAAGUCGAGGGGUAGCAGGAUUAAGCUUGCUUAAUUGCUGACGACCGGCGCACGGGUGCGUAACGCGUAUGCAACCUACCUUAUACUGGGGUAUAGCCCGGAGAAAUUCGGAUUAAUCCCCCAUAGUACUAAUGAAUCGCAUGGUUUAUUAGUUAAAGCAUUGCGGUAUAAGAUGGGCAUGCGUCCUAUUAGCUAGAUGGCGAGGUAACGGCUCACCAUGGCUACGAUAGGUAGGGGGCCUGAGAGGGUUGUCCCCCACACUGGUACUGAGACACGGACCAGACUCCUACGGGAGGCAGCAGUGAGGAAUAUUGGUAAAUGGGCGCAAGCCUGAACCAGCCAUGCCGCGUGCAGGAAGAAUGCCCUAUGGGUUGUAAACUGCUUUUAUUUGGGAAUAAACCUCUUUACGUGUAGAGAGCUGAAGGUACCAAAUGAAUAAGCACCGGCUAACUCCGUGCCAGCCGCCGCCGUAA
This 503-nucleotide ribosomal RNA is filed under the name uncultured bacterium. RNAcentral's name for it is "partial 16S ribosomal RNA". It matches the Rfam family "Bacterial small subunit ribosomal RNA", at positions 28 to 523 of the family's 1533-position model. The record is from RNAcentral.